GAUGAAGAACGUAGUGAAAUGCGAUACGUAAUGUGAAUUGCAGAAUUCAGUGAAUCAUCGAGUCUUUGAACGCACAUUGCGCCCCCUGGUAUUCCGGGGGGCAUGCCUGUCCGAGCGUCAUUGCUGCCCUCAAGCACGGCUUGUGUGUUGGGCCUCCGUCCUCCUCCCGGGGGACGGGCCCGAAAGGCAGCGGCGGCACCGCGUCCGGUCCUCGAGCGUAUGGGGCUUCGUCACCCGCUCUUGUAGGCCCGGCCGGCGCUUGCCGACACAUCAAUCUUUUUUCCAGGUUGACCUCGGAUCAGGUAGGGAUACCCGCUGAACUUAAGCAUAUCAAUAAGGGAGGA
Molecule: unclassified non-coding RNA, 344 nt
Filed under: soil metagenome
Description: partial contains 5.8S ribosomal RNA, internal transcribed spacer 2, and large subunit ribosomal RNA
Rfam family: 5.8S ribosomal RNA (bases 1-120)
Source: RNAcentral